AGAGUUUGAUCCUGGCUCAGGAUGAACGCUGGCGGCGUGCCUAACACAUGCAAGUCGAACGGGAACCCUUGGAUUCGUCUGGGGGGGAGAGUGGCGAACGGGUGAGUAACACGUUGGUGACCUGCCCCGGAGUCGGGAACAACCCUUCGAAAGGGGGGCUAAUGCCCGAUAUGCUUGUGUCUCUUAGAAGGACACAAGUAAAGCUCCGGCGCUUCGGGAGGGGCCAGCGGCCUAUCAGCUAGUUGGUGAGGUAACGGCUCACCAAGGCUAAGACGGGUAGGGGGCGUGAGAGCGUGAUCCCCCACAAUGGAACUGAGACACGGUCCAUACUCCUACGGGAGGCAGC
RNAcentral lists this ribosomal RNA (346 nucleotides) under uncultured bacterium. RNAcentral's name for it is "partial 16S ribosomal RNA". It matches the Rfam family "Bacterial small subunit ribosomal RNA", at positions 8 to 352 of the family's 1533-position model. The record is from RNAcentral.